UUUAAAUGUAAAAUAAAUAUACUAAAUUAGUAUUAGUUAUGUUCUUGAAAUUUAAAGAUUUUGGCGGUAUUUUAGUCUAUUUAGAGGAGCCUGUUCUAUUAUUGAUAAUCCACGAUUAAUUUUACUUAAUUUAAAUAAAUUUGUAUACCGUCGUUAUAAGAAGAUUUUAAAAGAAUAUAAAUUUUUAGUAUUUUAUAUAAAAAAAUAUAUCAGAUCAAGGUGCAGUUUAUAGUUAAGUAGAAAUGGGCUACAAUAAAUUUAUUUAUACGGAUUAGAAGGAGAAUAUAUUUCUAUGAAGGUGGAUUUAAUAGUAAUAAAAUUAAUUUAAAUUUUAUGAUUUUAGCUCUAAAAUAUG
RNAcentral lists this ribosomal RNA (355 nucleotides) under Carabus problematicus solutus. RNAcentral's name for it is "partial 12S ribosomal RNA". Lineage: Eukaryota; Metazoa; Arthropoda; Insecta; Coleoptera; Carabidae. The record is from RNAcentral.